RNAcentral lists this ribosomal RNA (468 nucleotides) under uncultured bacterium. RNAcentral describes it as "partial 16S ribosomal RNA". It matches the Rfam family "Bacterial small subunit ribosomal RNA", at positions 28 to 507 of the family's 1533-position model. The record is from RNAcentral.
GACGAACGCUGGCGGCGUGCUUAACACAUGCAAGUCGAACGGAAAGGCCCUGCUUUUGUGGGGUGCUCGAGUGGCGAACGCGUGAGUAACACGUGAGUAACCUGCCCUUGACUUUGUGAUAACUUCAGGAAACUGGGGCUCAUACCGGAUAGGAGCUCCUGCUGCAUGGUGGGGGUUGGAAAGUUUCGGCGGUUGGGGAUGGACUCGAGGCUUAUCAGCUUGUUGGUGGGGUAGUGGCUUACCAAGGCUUUGACGGGUAGCCGGCCUGAGAGGGUGACCGGCCACAUUGGGACUGAGAUAGGGCCCAGACGCCUACGGGAGGCAGCAGGGGGGAAUAUGGCACAAUGGGCGGAAGCCUGAUGCAGCAACGCCGCGUGCGGGAUGACGGCCUUCGGGUUGUAAACCGCUUUCGCCUGUGACGAAGCGGGAGUGACGGUAAUGGGUAAAGAAGCAACGGCUAACUACGUG